This is a long non-coding RNA of Panicum virgatum (switchgrass), 3768 nucleotides long. RefSeq lists it as uncharacterized. The record is from RefSeq and is a predicted model, not a curated record. NCBI's taxonomy places the organism in Eukaryota, Viridiplantae, Streptophyta, Magnoliopsida, Poales, Poaceae. The transcript is spliced from 8 exons.
UUGCGCAUCGCGUGAUCCCUUCCAAAAAAAAAAAAAACGCGGCGUCGCUCGCCAACCCGCCGCGCCGCGCACCGCUUAUCCCCGCACCGGCGUCAAUCUCGGAUCCUCUCUCCCCACCCUUCCUUCCCGGCGCCCCUCGCUUCCUCUGCCGACGCCAUCUCCAUUUGCCUCCCCGCAUGACCGCCCCUUCCAUCCCCCCCUCCUAGCGCACCCUGGCGAGUCUCGGCGGCGGCGGCCCUUGGCACGGCGCGGCCUCCGAGCGAGCGUCGUGCGGCCCCUCUCACGAGCGCGAGGGGGGCGUGGAGUCCGCCCCCGAUCCCGGGAGCUCCGGGUGCCACGCGCGGGGUUGUGGGAGCUCGCUGCCGGCGCCGCGCGUCAAUUCCCCGCAGAUCCGGCGGGCGUGGGAUCUAGCGGCGAGUACAACCGGCGUGGGAAGGGAUCCGGCGGGGACGGGCAGGGAUCCGGCCGUGUUGACUGCUGGUACGGGCGACGGACGGUGCGUGGUCGACCUCCGCAGCAAGUCUUACUGCUGUUUCUACGUCCGUCUGAAGCAGCUGUUUGAGAAGCUGGGAGCAAGCUUUAAGGCCAUUGAGAUGGAUGUGGAAAGUGAUGGAUGUGAGAUGCUCUCAAGGAAUGGGGUAGACAGAGGACCGUCCUGAAGCAGCUGCAGAAGCAGUAAACUGGCGAGGGGCGCAGGAGACCCAGCCGGUCCAGCAGCUUCACUGGCCACUGCAGAGGCAGAGUCGGCGGCGGGGGCAAGGGCGGCGGGCUGGGGCUCCUCGAGCCAGCCUCUCCUCUCAUCUAAUCGCAGAUAUUUCCUAAUCUUUUGUAGUUCUUCCUGGAUGUGUUCUAUGGAGAGCUCAUGCCUCUAUAGUUGAACAAGUUGGUUCAAUAGAUUGCCUGAUGGGUUAUUUAGACUUAUUAGAUUGCCAUAAUUAUUGAGUUACCAACAUUAUUUUCUGCAAUGCAAACACUUAUUAGAUAAUGCCAAGUUUUACUUCAUCUGUGCUGAUACUAAUAUUCGUAUCCUGUAUCGAUGCUGCAUAGCUGAAAAAGUGAUGCAAGCAAUGUAUAUGAUUCUAGCAAAAGAGAAUGCCCAAUUUGUCUUCCUGUUUGAUCUCCCUCGAAUUAGGACGCCAUGGGACUCUCAAAGGAUGUCAGGUUACACAGGAUAUGCCACUUUAAAAAUACGGAGUUGACUAGAUUAGUUACCUUUCCUAAAGCAAUCAGUGACUGUAGUCUAUGUUUUUUUUUUAUUUUUGUACCCAGUUAUGUGUUUCCUUGGGGAUUUCCAUAGGGUCAAGAACGUGUAGAAUUGAGACAAGGUCUGGAGCUACUGCCAAGACAAAAUAUUAGAUUACAGAAUGCUUACUAAGUUACUAUUUAAUUACAGUUAAUGGUGGGAGAAGGUUGGAUCCCAGUAUUCCAGUAUGACCCCUUUAUUAUGUUUGGCAGCCUGCCACCUUAUGUAUGGUGCUUUUUUGUUGCCACUAAAAGGUGAUGGCUGUAAUUUGAAUUGGAGAUGCCACUUCAUUGUGUUUUCAGCUUUUUUCAGACUCACUCGAAAAUAUUACAUAUUAGUAGGAUUGGAUAUAUAUAAUCUUUCUGCAAAUUACAAUGGAAGGAAACACUGGUCUAUGAAAGCAAGGAAUUUAUGGAGUUUUUGAAGUACAUUGGGGCGAGAGAGGAGCACGACAAGCACAAAAAGCUGUUCACUAAGCUCUGUACCUAAAGAAUGACAACUGCAUUUGAGUCUUGAGAUGUGCGGAUUCACCUGUUGCCAAGUUUGAGAACUGCUAAAUUGUGAAUGCACUGAGUUUUUAAUUUAUUUCUCCGUGUAAAGCUAUCAAAAUUCUAUCCGUAUUUGUAUUUUAGGAAGAGGGUGUUCCUUCAAGAUGAAGGUGAUGAUAUAUAGAGGGAGGUGACGAUGACUAUGUGGAAAUAUAGAUGAUUGGAAUGCCUAUUGAAGCAUCUGAUGGAGGACAGCAUUAGUAAUUUAGUAUGCAUGGUGUUGGAUAACUAUGAAGGAAAUAUCAAUUGCUUCUAGCUACUUUUUUGUGAAAGUAUAUUAGAAUUUCCAUAUUGUUUGCUACAUACAGAUACUUGGAUAUAAACAGAAGAUAUAAACAUGCAUGUAGCUUGCUCUCUAUGUUUGGGGAAAGAAAUAAGAUACAUGGGAAAAACUCAUAUGGUAGUUGAUUUAGAGCCUUUUAAGAGAUGGUAAUUGAUUGCCUCUAUAUUUACAAAAUAAAUAAAAAUAAACAAUUAUUAGUAAUUGAAUAAUUGAGCAACUAUAUUUUUUUUAUGGGUCAAUCAAUAGGGUGUUACCAUAUGAAUCAUGAUUGAGAGGGGCUUAGUUUCGUAUGAGAUAUUGAUUGUAUUUUAAAAAUUCUUUAAUUACAAUGUGUACAUCUUUGCUACAAUAAGAAAACUAUUAUCUAUUAACUUUUUAUCAAUGUAAAAAUUUUUAAUGAAUUUUUAAAACAUGUGCAUGCCGCACAUGGGCAUCUCUGCAAAUGUUCAGAGUGUCAUGCGUUAGUUAUAGGAAGAAUCCUCGGAUUCAUUAUCUUCAGUUUUUCUGUAUUUGCCAUCUUGAAGAUCACUACAGCACUGCUCACCAGUAUUAUUUAGGAAUGGUUGCCUCUAUGACUGAAAGCUAGCUGUUUUCAUCAAAUUGACCAUGUUUUGAAGAAAAGGGGGUAUGACUUUACAAGCUGCAAGCACAUGAAGGAGAAUUGAACCAGAUGGGAGGAGAUUUAGAGAGCAGGACUGAGGUGCUUGACAAGAAGAAAAAAAAGAACACUUUGGGAGCAAGAUUUUGGCAUUGUAUUCUGUCAACAGCAAGAUCAAGACCGAUGGCAAAAUGCAAGAUGGAAGAAUCACGAGAUGAUGUCAUGAAGAGACAUCAAACUCCAAUGUGCUUGAAGGAACUUGUGGCAGGGCACUUGAAGGAGGAAUCACCAGACAACAAUUGAAAUGAGAUGAAGGUGAAGGAUGCGGACACAAAGUCUAUUAGCUGGGCGACCAUCAAUAUUCAUGACAAGGUUGCAAAGCUCCCAUCAGAGCACUUGCCAAGAAGGUUAAUCCAUUAUCUAUUUUUUCUGUUUAUAGAAAUUCGAUCGUCUGUCUUUAGUGAUGUGAGCUACUUUAAAAAAUUUACAUUGCAUCAUAGUCAGCACAUUUUAUGUGAUCUAUACAAUUGUGAAAUUGUUUUAUUUCUAUACUGCAUGAAUGCUUAUUGAUAUUUCUAUAGUUGAAUUCCUUUUUUCGACAAUUGAGAUUUUUGUUUAUAACAGGGUUCUCCGAAAGUUGGUCUUGCAGCAUUCCCUUGUUUAUUGACGUUCAGUUCUACUAAAUUCUAUUUUGGUCAGCAUGGUUGGUUAAUCAUAUUUGUUUAAGCUGUUGUUCAUUCUUAUGCUGCUCUGCUGUGUCAAAAAAAAAAAACUCAAAGUCCCUCUCCAAGCAUACCAUGUUGAAUAAAAUAGGAACGAAAUACCUCGCUUUCUUUUUUUGUUCUUGAAUAUUGCCAUUAGGUUCGCUUUGGAUAGUCAUAAUCUGCGUCUCUUUGUGAUGCUGCGCAGAUUUAUGAUAGCUAGGUUUUGCACAUAUGACUUAGAUCUGCAUUCUGGUUGCUUUCUAUGUCAGGCAAUUGAACUUUUAAGUUGCUAUAGGCCCUUGGUAUGCUAAACUGGUAACCUUGCAUCUGCAUGCUUUCAGCACUCUUCUCAUUUUUCUAGAAAGAGAGGAAGUUUUUGUUGACACCGUUUU